RNAcentral lists this long non-coding RNA (1786 nucleotides) under Marmota monax (woodchuck). The record is from RNAcentral. Lineage: Eukaryota; Metazoa; Chordata; Mammalia; Rodentia; Sciuridae.
CAAUUACUUGCCAUCUACUAGGAGCAGGACCUCGUUUCAUGCCCUGUAGUCUUAGCAAGAGGGGAUAUUGGUAUGUCCUUUACUCUGUGGGAGUAGUUUAGACACUAGACAAUCUGGAGCCACUUAGGAGUCAGUGUUUCAGGACAGAGGGGAUAGAGAUGCAGGAGAAAGGCAGUGGAGGAGUUGGCACCAGAUCUGACAGAUGUACGGGCUGUGACCAGAGGUGGUGCUAAUGAAGGUUGCUGAAAGGAACCAUCAGCAGCCCCAUUUUUAGCCUUUUGGCCAUUUGCCUUGUUCUGGGUGUGGUGUGUGGGCACCAUGAUACCCUGCUGGCUAGUGAAAAUGGAUCCAGACCUGUUUAAAAAUAAAUUGGCACCAUGUACCAUGAACUUAAGAUGUUAAUGCCCUUUGACCCAGUAAUUCUCCUUUUGGCAAUCUGUUCGAAGAAACAAAACCUAAAACACAUUUUCACUUCUUUUUAACAUAGGAUGUUAAAGAGAUGUUAGUUGCCACUUUAUUUAUAUUUGCAAAAAGUUGAAAUUAAUCUAAAUGUGAAACCACAGCAGAAUGGUUACAUAAUCUAUGCCAUCUCUUCUUAGUGGAUUAUAUUAUGUAGCGAUAUAGAAGCAUGUGAGGGAAGAUUAUGAAAAUUACAGAAAUGUAUAUGGUAUGAAGAAUAAGAAAUUACAGAGUAGCAUUUUUCUGAAGUGUGUUUCUGGAACACUUGCUCUCAUGUCAAAUGUAUUUGGGAAAUGCCCCUUCCAAGACUGCACAAUGCACAUCCGCACUAAGGUUCUGAGUUCUGAGGUUGAACCUAUUGCUUCUUCAACUAUUUCACCCUGAAGUCUUUUAUCCAUCCAAUAUUUAUUACCAUCCUUAUGCACAAAUGUUCUGUGAAACAGAGUUUUGGGAAAUGGUGGUAUGUAGAAUGGUUAUAAUUAGAUUCAAAUGUCCAUCACAGAGAAAGGAUGGGAAGAAAGAAUGACAAAAUUCAAGCAGGGGUUAUCAGUAGCAAUGACGGGAAAAAUUUAUUAUUCAAAUCUUAUUGUUUGUGCAUUUAGCAGAAAUUCUUGAACAUACAUAUUUCUGUGUUAGUUCUUGUUACUGUGACCAGAAUACUUGACAAGAACAACUUAGAGGAGGAAAGUUUAUGUUUGCUUGUAGUUUCAGAGGUCUCAGUCCCUGGUCAGCUGACUUCAUUGCUUUGAGCCCAAGAUGAGUUAGAAUAUCAUGGCAGAAGGGAAUGGAGGAAGGCCAUUCAACUCAUGGCAGAUAGGAAGCAGAGAAGUGGGACACGAAGGGGCCAUAGAGAAGGCAAACACUUCCAGGGCACACCCGCCCCCAACAACCUGCCACAGUGGCCUACCACUAGACAGGCCCCACCUGUAUUAUCGUACUUACAGUUAACACCAAGUAAAGUACUAUUUUCAAAUUAUUAAUCUAUCAAAUGGAUGAAUCCAUUGAUUAAGCUCCAGUCCCCAUAAUGUAAUCAUUUCACUUCCUUCAUCAACAGGAGCUUUUGGAGGCUACCUCAUAUCCAAACCUGGUCCCCCCAGAGCUCAUGCCCAUCUCACAAUGCAAAAUACAUUAGUUCAUUUCCAAGAGUCCCCACAGUUAACAGUUCAGCCGUGCCCAAAAGUCCAAGUACAAAGUCUUACCUGAGACUCAUGGCUGUAGGCCCCUGUAAAAAUCAAAAGCAAGUUACCUACAUACAGUAUAGAAUGGCACAGCAUAACAUUCCCAUUCCAACAGGAAUGAAUAGGCUUAUAGAGAGAAGGAUUAGGAC